Molecule: unclassified non-coding RNA, 378 nt
Filed under: plant metagenome
Description: partial contains 5.8S ribosomal RNA, internal transcribed spacer 2, and large subunit ribosomal RNA
Rfam family: 5.8S ribosomal RNA (bases 1-105)
Source: RNAcentral
GAAAUGCGAUAAGUAAUGUGAAUUGCAGAAUUCAGUGAAUCAUCGAAUCUUUGAACGCACCUUGCGCUCCUUGGUAUUCCUUGGAGCAUGCCUGUUUGAGUAUCAUGAAAUCUUCAAAGUAAAUCUUUUGUUAACUCAAUUGGUUUCUACUUUGGUAUUGGAGGUCUUUGCAGCUUCACACCUGCUCCUCUUUGUUCAUUAGCUGGAUCUCAGUGUUAUGCUUGGUUCCACUCGGCGUGAUAAGUUAUCUAUCGCUGAGGACACUGUAAAAGGUGGUCAAGGUAAAUGCAGAUGAACCGCUUCUAAUAGUCCAUUGACUUGGACAAUACUUUUAUGAUCUGAUCUCAAAUCAGGUAGGACUACCCGCUGAGCUUAAGC